RNAcentral lists this ribosomal RNA (253 nucleotides) under uncultured bacterium. RNAcentral describes it as "partial 16S ribosomal RNA". It matches the Rfam family "Bacterial small subunit ribosomal RNA", at positions 524 to 776 of the family's 1533-position model. The record is from RNAcentral.
UACGUAGGGGGCAAGCGUUGUCCGGAAUCAUUGGGCGUAAAGAGCGUGUAGGCGGUCCGGUCAGUCGGUUGUGAAAGUCAAGGGCUCAACCCUUGAAUGCCGGCCGAUACUGUCAAGCUCGAGUCCGGAAGAGGCAAGUGGAAUUCCCGGUGUAGCGGUGAAAUGCGCAGAUAUCGGGAGGAACACCAAUGGCGAAGGCAGCUUGCUGGGACGGUACUGACGCUGAGACGCGAAAGCGUGGGGAGCAAACAGG